RNAcentral lists this ribosomal RNA (472 nucleotides) under uncultured Comamonadaceae bacterium. RNAcentral describes it as "bacterial SSU rRNA". It matches the Rfam family "Bacterial small subunit ribosomal RNA", at positions 8 to 475 of the family's 1533-position model. Lineage: Bacteria; Pseudomonadati; Pseudomonadota; Betaproteobacteria; Burkholderiales; Comamonadaceae. The record is from RNAcentral.
AGAGUUUGAUCCUGGCUCAGAUUGAACGCUGGCGGAAUGCUUUACACAUGCAAGUCGAACGGCAGCACGGGGGCAACCCUGGUGGCGAGUGGCGAACGGGUGAGUAAUGCAUCGGAACGUGCCCAGUCGUGGGGGAUAACGUAGCGAAAGCUACGCUAAUACCGCAUACGAACUCUGGUUGAAAGCGGGGGAUCGCAAGACCUCGCGCGAUUGGAGCGGCCGAUGGCAGAUUAGGUAGUUGGUGGGGUAAAGGCUCACCAAGCCCACGAUCUGUAGCUGGCCUGAGAGGACGACCAGCCACACUGGGACUGAGACACGGCCCAGACUCCUACGGGAGGCAGCAGUGGGGAAUUUUGGACAAUGGGCGCAAGCCUGAUCCAGCCAUUCCGCGUGCAGGAUGAAGGCCCUCGGGUUGUAAACUGCUUUUGUACGGAACGAAAAGGCCUGGGUUAAUACCUCGGGCUCAUGACGG